GAUCUACCUUGCCUCUCUCUGGCAGAACGCUGGAGCAAAGAGACUCGCUGACUUGCUUGGUUGUAUUAAGCCCUGUGGCAGACUAAGAAACUGAAGAUGUCACGCUCAGGUGGAGCACCUCCCAGAAAGACUUUGAGAACUUUGUUUCUUCCCACUGUUCUACCUUCAUCAGUCACAUCUGAUAUGUCACCGUCACAGAAGAAACUGUUGACAUACCGAAGAUGCAACGAGCAGCAAAAGAUGCUUCAUCAGUUACUAAUCGAUCGAGCUUUAAAAGCCUAUCACGUAUCCAUGGAAGAAAAACGCAACAGAGAACCUGUACCUCCUAUCCCGAAACUGCCUUCCACUGUGAGAAAGUGUUUCUUUAAUGCCUGUUUUGUUCUUUGUUAUUCUUGCAUUUAUGGCUCUUACUUCUUAGUAUUUACUUAAAGAUAUUCAUCUCAAUCCUUAGUAAUUUAUAAAUACAUUUAUAUGCUCAAGUAGUCACAUUGAAAUCAAUACCUGUGUAUCUCCAGAAUAA
RNAcentral lists this long non-coding RNA (520 nucleotides) under Strigops habroptila (Kakapo). Its description in RNAcentral is "lncRNA (ENSSHBG00005021112.1)". Lineage: Eukaryota; Metazoa; Chordata; Aves; Psittaciformes; Psittacidae. The record is from RNAcentral.